Molecule: long non-coding RNA, 648 nt
Organism: Bos taurus (domestic cattle)
Lineage: Eukaryota; Metazoa; Chordata; Mammalia; Artiodactyla; Bovidae
Source: Ensembl
CCUGGUUGAAUGUGUGUUCCAGGUGAGUAAAAUACAUUUAGUCAGUUUCCUGUUAUAGAAACCAGAACAUGGCCUGGAAAAUCCUAAUGGUUUACCUGUGACUUUAUUUCCAUAAAGAUAAAUCAUCCCAGAGACUUUUAGAGAGCCUUGGAAAUAUUCCUCUAAUCUACUCUACUUAUCCCAUUUAAAGGAUAGCAUCUGAAGAUUUAAUAACAAAAAACAGUUGAAGAAUUCAAAGCUGGAUAAUCAGACAGCAAACAAAUCUCCCCUUGGGCCCAGAGGAAGACAUUAUCUCUGUCUUCUAAGGAUGUUUGCUACACAGACAUCCCUGAAAAAAUCAGGAAAAAGCUGUUAAUGCCCUUGCCUAGAAGACAUGCAGAAAUACAAGAGAUCAAUGGAGAGCUGUCUUCCCACAAAUGACUGCUUCAGAGCCUUUGUCAGAGCCUGGGAGCCUCAACUACUGAAGCCUGCAGACCCCAGAGCCUGUGCUCCACAAGAGAAGCCACCGCAGUGAGAAGCCCUCACACCACAACUGGAGAGCAGCCACUGCUCACCUCAACUAGAGAAAAGCCCACACGCAACCGAGUCCCAGCACAGCCAACAAAUACAUUAAAGCACUACUUUAAAACUCGAUGUGAUGAACUUGAC